This 715-nucleotide small RNA is filed under the name Arabidopsis thaliana (thale cress). RNAcentral's name for it is "ATSL261580". Lineage: Eukaryota; Viridiplantae; Streptophyta; Magnoliopsida; Brassicales; Brassicaceae. The record is from RNAcentral.
UUUUUAUUCUUUAUUUCUUUAUUUAAUCCAUUCUUUUAUUAAUGAUUUUAUUUAUUUUUAAUCAAAGUCACAUUUUUAGUAUAAUUCUGGUUAUAAAACUGAUUAGGGUUAAAAUGUCUUUAGAUUUAAAAUGUGAGUCAUUCUAGUCAGCCAUCAAUUACAAGAGUCAUUUAAGUUAUUAAUCCUAAGUUAUGAGUCAAUCUGAGCAAAAUUCAGUAUAAAUUUUUUAAAAUCCCUUGUAAAUCUUUUAAAACCCUUUUAAAAUCUAUUUCCCGCCAGAAAUAUUUACAAGGAUUUUUAAAAUCAUGUUUUUGGCGGGAAAAAUAAAAUUUGGCGCCAAAAAAUUUGCGGGAAAAUAAAUUUUGGCGCCAAAAAAAUUGCGGAAAAAAUAAAUUUUGGCGCCAAAAAAUUGGCGGGAAAAUUUCAGUUUCCAAUUACAUGUUCCUAUCAGAUGAGGGUAAUUUGGUCAUUUUAUUCAAGGGAAGUGGUAUUUUUAAAAAUGGACAACAUUAAAGGGUAUUGUUGCAAUAGGGUAGUAAAAAAAGGGUAGUUUUGCAAAUCUCCCUUAUAAUUUAGCUUGAAUGAAAAAAAAUAAAAGAAGAAUGUAGCUUUAAAUGAGAGAUUUGUAAACAGAGGGAGUGAAGAAAUGUUUUAUAUUUUUAUUACCUUUUAUAUAUUAGAAAAGGAUAAUGUCAACAAUCAUACUAUUAUUAUU